GAUGAAGAACGUAGCGAAAUGCGAUAAGUAGUGUGAAUUGCAGAAUUCAGUGAAUCAUCGAAUCUUUGAACGCACAUUGCGCCCCUUGGUAUUCCGAGGGGCAUGCCUGUUCGAGCGUCAUUAUCACCCCUCAAGCUCAGCUUGGUGUUGGGGCCGGCCCGUCACAGGGCCGCCCCUAAAAGCAGUGGCGGUGCCAUCUGGCUCUACGCGUAGUAAUACUCCUCGCGACAGAGUCCCGGUGGUGUCCUGCCAGAACCCCCCAUCUUUUUAAUGAUUGACCUCGGAUCAGGUAGGGAUACCCGCUGAACUUAAGCAUAUCAAUAAGCGGAGGA
Molecule: unclassified non-coding RNA, 332 nt
Filed under: soil metagenome
Description: partial contains 5.8S ribosomal RNA, internal transcribed spacer 2, and large subunit ribosomal RNA
Rfam family: 5.8S ribosomal RNA (bases 1-120)
Source: RNAcentral